GAUGAACGCUGGCGGCGUGCUUAACACAUGCAAGUCGAGCGAAGCAGUUGAAAAGAUUCUUCGGAUGAUUGUCAACUGACUGAGCGGCGGACGGGUGAGUAACGCGUGGGUGACCUGCCCCAUACCGGGGGAUAACAGCUGGAAACGGCUGCUAAUACCGCAUAAGCGCACAGAGCUGCAUGGCUCGGUGUGAAAAACUCCGGUGGUAUGGGAUGGGCCCGCGUCUGAUUAGGCAGUUGGCGGGGUAACGGCCCUCCAAACCGACGAUCAGUAGCCGGCCUGAGAGGGCGACCGGCCACAUUGGGACUGAGACACGGCCCAAACUCCUACGGGAGGCAGCAGUGGGGAAUAUUGCACAAUGGGGGAAACCCUGAUGCAGCGACGCCGCGUGAGCGAAGAAGUAUUUCGGUAUGUAAAGCUCUAUCAGCAGGGAAGAUAAUGACGGUACCUGACUAAGAAGCCCCGGCUAACUACGUGCCAGCAGCCGCGGUAA
RNAcentral lists this ribosomal RNA (493 nucleotides) under uncultured bacterium. Its description in RNAcentral is "partial 16S ribosomal RNA". It matches the Rfam family "Bacterial small subunit ribosomal RNA", at positions 28 to 523 of the family's 1533-position model. The record is from RNAcentral.